This 301-nucleotide ribosomal RNA is filed under the name uncultured bacterium. RNAcentral's name for it is "partial 16S ribosomal RNA". It matches the Rfam family "Bacterial small subunit ribosomal RNA", at positions 509 to 807 of the family's 1533-position model. The record is from RNAcentral.
CAGUAGCCGCGGUAAUACGAAGGGUGCAAGCGUUAAUCGGAUUUACUGGGCGUAAAGCGUGCGUAGGCGGCUUUUUAAGUCGGAUGUGAAAUCCCUGAGCUUAACUUAGGAAUUGCAUUCGAUACUGGGAAGCUAGAGUAUGGGAGAGGAUGGUAGAAUUCCAGGUGUAGCGGUGAAAUGCGUAGAGAUCUGGAGGAAUACCGAUGGCGAAGGCAGCCAUCUGGCCUAAUACUGACGCUGAGGUACGAAAGCAUGGGGAGCAAACAGGAUUAGAUACCCCCGUAGUCCCUGUCUCUUAUAC